CCCUCAAUAGGGGAAUAGGUAAAGCAUUCGGCUGUUAACCGAAGGGUCGUUGGUUCGAGCCCGACUCGGGGAG
This 73-nucleotide transfer RNA is filed under the name Coprococcus sp. RNAcentral's name for it is "tRNA-Asn". It matches the Rfam family "tRNA". Rfam says of the family: Transfer RNA (tRNA) molecules are approximately 80 nucleotides in length. Lineage: Bacteria; Bacillati; Bacillota; Clostridia; Lachnospirales; Lachnospiraceae. The record is from RNAcentral.